GGAUGCGAUCAUACCAGCACUAAAGCACCGGAUCCCAUCAGAACUCCGAAGUUAAGCGGGAAGUCCUCGUGUUGCAUUCC
RNAcentral lists this ribosomal RNA (80 nucleotides) under Triticum aestivum (bread wheat). The record is from RNAcentral. Lineage: Eukaryota; Viridiplantae; Streptophyta; Magnoliopsida; Poales; Poaceae.